RNAcentral lists this ribosomal RNA (253 nucleotides) under uncultured organism. RNAcentral's name for it is "partial 16S ribosomal RNA". It matches the Rfam family "Bacterial small subunit ribosomal RNA", at positions 524 to 776 of the family's 1533-position model. The record is from RNAcentral.
UACAGAGGGUGCAAGCGUUAAUCGGAGUUACUGGGCGUAAAGGGCGCGUAGGUGGUUGUGUAAGUUGGAUGUGAAAUCCCUGGGCUUAACCUAGGAACUGCAUUCAGAACUGCAUAGCUAGAGUAUUGUAGAGGGUAGUGGAAUUUCCGGUGUAGCGGUGAAAUGCGUAGAGAUCGGAAGGAACACCAGUGGCGAAGGCGGCUACCUGGACAAAUACUGACACUGAGGCGCGAGAGCGUGGGGAGCAAACAGG